This 1591-nucleotide unclassified non-coding RNA is filed under the name Hevea brasiliensis (rubber tree). The record is from RNAcentral. Lineage: Eukaryota; Viridiplantae; Streptophyta; Magnoliopsida; Malpighiales; Euphorbiaceae.
GGGUCUUGUUAAGCGAGAAACUCGUUUUGCUUCCCAUAGCCCCGCAAAUGAAAUUAUGUGUAAAAUUGAGGAAGCUGCUAAGCCUCUAGGCUUUAAUGUUGACAAGCAAAACUACAAGAUGAAGUUGAAAGGUGAUAAAAAUGGGAGGAAGGGUCAGCUCUCUGUUGCCACUGAGGUAAUGAGUUAAGGAAUGUAGAAUAAUUUUUCUAUAUUUGAUAAUUUGCAUUCAUAGAAAGGAAAAGGGUCAAAUAAUUUAUGUUUGAAGUUGUCAUGGUAGAAUAUGUAUGCAUUGUGCUAUGGUGCUGUACUUUGCAAUUUCAAAUAUGGACAAAAUCAGACCAUAUGCUGAUGUUGGUAGCCUCUUAUCUGCAUUAUCACUUAAACAUGAUUUAAGAAGCGCAUAUUCUUUUUAAGAACUUGCUGCCUUAGAUUCUUUUCUACCUAACAGUUUAGAUUGAAUGGACCUGAUUAAAGCCUUGAAUUCUGACUAUUUGUGCUUGGCUUGAUAAAUCUUUUAUCAUCACAUUGUGUUGUUUCCUCUAUUUAUAAUGCCAAAUGGUAAGCAGUCAGAGCAAUAUAUUUAUUAUCUAAAAUUUGUCAUAAUUUUUUUAACCGGUGAAAAUUUCUUAUAGUUUGAUAUUGUACACAUGCGCUCACACUCACGCACAAUAAUACAAUACUUAAUAAUUGAAUACUUUUGAAUUUCAGGUGUUCGAGGUGGCACCAACAUUGCACAUGGUGGAGCUCCGGAAAGUUGGCGGUGAUACACUGGAGUUUCACAAGGCAUGUCAACAUUCUCAUUUUGGAUUCAUUCACAAUAUCAUAGUGGUUCUUACUCACUUGGAAUUCUAUGAAUGAAGAAGGAAGAUCCAUUUUCACAUAAUUAUCAAUACAAUCACUGUUUACUAUUCCAUGCUGCAUUUCCUCAGUCAUCGUACAGUGAAGACUCAAGGAAUUUUAAUCCUUUGAUAGCCAAAGUUCAUGAAUGACUGAUUUUGAAUCCCUUUUCCUGAUCAUAUUGCAGUUUUAUAAAACUUUCUCGUCAGGGUUAAAAGAUAUAGUCUGGAAAUCUGAAGGAACCAUAGAAGGAUUAAAGUAACGUCUCUCUCUCCGUGCAUUUGUGGGCAGCACAUUUAAUUGAGUCAUAAUUUUCUUGUGCAGUUUAUAACAGGAGCUGCCGCAUUGUGUCCUGUGUUAAUUGAUUCAUUGUUAUUUUAGCUCCAUCGCAUGCAUGUAUGAAUCUGCAAAUUGGGCACGAUGCAUUAAAUGUUAUAUCAUUUAUGAGUGGAGUAUGAGGAAAUAGUUUGAUUUGUGCUGUAGUCUAAUUAAUGGAGUGGUGAACAGAGAAUGGACUCAGCAAAUAGAGUAUGAUAGGCAGAGGUCUGGUGAUCCCGUUGAAAGAGGGAGGGACAUGACAUGCCUAAUAGUAAUAGUGUUUAGCCCUUCAUUAUGAUUUGAUUUAUGAGCUUGGUAUGUAGUUAGAGUUGCCUGAUUUUAUAACGGAUUCUAUUUGGGCUCUCCACCCAAAUUAAGUGGGCUGCCAAUUCUUUCCAGUCAACCUGUUAAUAUGAAAAUUCUGUCUUCAUCCGCG